RNAcentral lists this ribosomal RNA (241 nucleotides) under uncultured bacterium. RNAcentral's name for it is "partial 16S ribosomal RNA". It matches the Rfam family "Bacterial small subunit ribosomal RNA", at positions 97 to 334 of the family's 1533-position model. The record is from RNAcentral.
GGCGAACGGGUGAGUAACACGUAGGUGAUCUACCUUGAGGCUGGGGAUAGCCUGUGGAAACACAGGGUAAUACCGAAUAAGCUGGUUGGAGUAAAGACCGAUCAGGAAAGGCGCGAUUGCGCCACCUUAGGAUGAGCCUGCGGCUCAUUAGUUAGUUGGUAGGGUAACGGCCUACCAAGGCGACGAUGGGUAGGGGGUCUGAGAGGAUGGCCCCCCACACUGGGACUGAGACACGGCCCAG